ACAGGGAGGACAGGUGGUGCAUGGUUGUCGUCAGCUCGUGUCGUGAGAUGUUGGGUUAAGUCCCGCAACGAGCGCAACCCCUACGUUUAGUUGCUAACGCGUGAAGGCGAGCACUCUAGACGAACUGCCGUUGACAAAACGGAGGAAGGUGGGGAUGACGUCAAAUCAUCAUGCCCCUUAUGUUCUGGGCUACACACGUGCUACAAUGGCCGGUACAGACGGACGCAAAGCCGCGAGGUGGAGCAAAUCCUAAAAAGCCGGUCUCAGGUCGGAUUGCAGGCUGCAAUUCGCCUGCAUGAAGUCGGAAUCGCUAGUAAUCGCAGGUCAGCAUACUGCGGUGAAUACGUUCCCGGGCCUU
RNAcentral lists this ribosomal RNA (358 nucleotides) under uncultured Pelotomaculum sp. RNAcentral's name for it is "bacterial SSU rRNA". It matches the Rfam family "Bacterial small subunit ribosomal RNA", at positions 1025 to 1382 of the family's 1533-position model. Lineage: Bacteria; Bacillati; Bacillota; Clostridia; Eubacteriales; Desulfotomaculaceae. The record is from RNAcentral.